Molecule: long non-coding RNA, 1740 nt
Organism: Gallus gallus (chicken)
Lineage: Eukaryota; Metazoa; Chordata; Aves; Galliformes; Phasianidae
Source: Ensembl
GUGCUGAGCCGUGCUGAGCCGUGCUGAGCCGUGCUGAGCCGUGCUGAGCCGUGCUGAGCCGUGCUGGGGAGGUUUGGGGCUGAGGGAGUGUUGUAGCGAGCGGGCGCCGUCAUGGCCGGCGGGAUCGUUAGGUCGCCGGCCGCCUGGCGCGGUGGCGCCGCUCUCUUGGGAAAAGUCGCCCGCCAGGAGUUCUCCGCCAACGUUAUCCGCGAGGAGGAGCCGUUGUGGACGAGGAGGUCGGUGGUAUUCACGUGUCGAAGGCGAUAACCUUUGCCUCGAUGUGGAAGUGUCUGACGUAGCGCCAGCCUCACCGUGCUAAUCCAAAGCGUUCUUUCACCGGAGUCCGCGGUGUUCUUGAGGAUGGAGAGUUAACACGGCCUCCGUCGGGAUAACCCCAGGUUCUUUGAAAAUGCCUUGGUCAAAAGUAGGAUAGGAAGGCGAUAUUUGGCCAUAACUGAAGGAUGUGCCUUGCGUUCCAUGAUAUUUCACCGCAAGCUCCUACGCUUUUUCCUAGCCGCUCCCCAGAAGGCCGUUGUCGGGUUAUCCGGAGCAGAAGAUUGUGGCGCACCUGUAAGUACCGUGGAAGCUUUCUGUACACGAAACGGUGCCAGUAAGUGGUAUGUAAUUUAGUAGGCUCUGUCCCGUCGCCUCGUUUCCUCUCGAUGUUGCAAAGAGGCACAGUAGGCUAUUUGGGCUUUCCCGACGCCAUAAUCUUUUGCCUCUAGCUUGUAACGGAGCUGAGCGUUUUGACUAAGGGUAGUGAGAGAGAGCGAUGCUCAUUUCUGGGUACGUACUUGAUGCAAAAUGCAGCGCUGUUCAGAAGUAUGGCCCUAUGCCUGUUCUCGCUGUUUCCAGACAGUGGUCCUUGCUCUAAUAUGGAGAAGAGGGCUUGGGGUUUUGAGCAGGUCGGAGGCGAGGAAGGGGAAAGCUGGCUGAGGGGUGCUGGAUGUCUCAUUUUCAGCUGUAGAAGUCAAGUCCCGUGGCUUUGGCGUGGGCUCACAAAGCCUACACUGAGUUUUUCUUUUCUGCCGGAAAGACUUAGGUUGCCCGAAGAUAUAAUGGGGGGCUGGAAGUCCGAGACAAAUCUGGCUUCUGUGCCCGAUUUGUAGUCCGUUACUGUCUAGCUGGGGGUGGGGAGGGGGUUAAAAACAAAAAAGGAAAAAAAAGGUGGCAAGUCCCAUAGCUGCCCCUCCCCCCAUUAUGCAUAAUCGGUCUUUGUAGCUUUGCUUGGAAUGUGUCAGUUGCAGAAAGGCAGUAAUUUGAAGAGCGGCCCUUGAAUGGCGAAGAACUAGUUAACCGCGUUCUGUGGCUGGUUCUCUGCUCGCCUUCCUUGGCUUCCUGCCCUCUCCACCCUUCAUUGUGUUGUGGCAUGCUCCGUUACGUAACGUUAUUUCCUUCUCCAGCUUCUUGGGCGUUUGAUGAUUGUUGGCGAGAAGUGUGCUGCUAGCCUGGGCUUGACCGAUGGAUUCCGGAUGGCUGUGAGAUACCCACCCUCAGUCCCUUCAGACUACCGCGCGCGGCUCUGUAUUCUGGGUGGCCGUCAGUUGGGCCAGCCUCCUGGCUAAGAUGUUUGCACCGCCGGUGUUGCUGCACGCGUACGGAUCGCCACCGAAUGGGUUUCACGUGUUGCCCGUCAGCCUAGCCACCGGUGACAUGUAAUUGUUUUUGGUGGGUGCCUAUGGAGGGUAAUGAAAAGCUUUGAGCAGCAUUUGCAGAAUAAAGAUGGAGCAUGGGGAUAUC